UACGAAGGGUGCAAGCGUUACUCGGAAUUACUGGGCGUAAAGCGUGCGUAGGUGGUUUGUUAAGUCUGUUGUGAAAGCCCCGGGCUCAACCUGGGAAUGGCAGUGGAAACUAGGGGACUUGAAUCUGGCAGAGGGGGGUGGAAUUCCACGUGUAGCAGUGAAAUGCGUAGAGAUGUGGAGGAACACCGAUGGCGAAGGCAGCCCCCUGGGCUGAGAUUGACGCUCAGGCACGAAAGCGUGGGGAGCAAACAGG
This 253-nucleotide ribosomal RNA is filed under the name uncultured bacterium. Its description in RNAcentral is "partial 16S ribosomal RNA". It matches the Rfam family "Bacterial small subunit ribosomal RNA", at positions 524 to 776 of the family's 1533-position model. The record is from RNAcentral.